GGAUAAUAGAUUGUUUUCACUUUCAUUUUUGUUUUCAGAGAUUUUUGCUACUCUUUAUGUCAAUCCCUCUCUUAAAAGAGCCAAUCCAUCGUUACUAUUCAUUUAUGAGAACCGUCUUCUCCAUUAGAACUGAUUAGGUACUGUUCAAGAACAGAUUUCCUACUGUUCAUUACUUUGUACCUCUUUAUAAAUGCUUUAUUCAUUUCACAAACCCUAGAACUCUCUUGAAACUUUUCCCUCCUCUUGCGACUCGUCCUAUGGCCUUGCCCUACUCUGUAGAUUAAGCCAAUGAUAGAUGCUAGAUCUUCAGGGUCUGGGUUUGGAAGAAGAAUAUCACGAAGUUGGAGGAAGAAUACCCCCAUUCAUCAGCAAAGGACCUGGUACAUAGUCCACAUUUUCUUCGGGUCCAAAGAAAGGGCUUCUAAAAAAGGUAUUAUUUUCUUCCAUGUCUUCAUUUUUUCCAAUUUGUUAAAAUUUUCAUUACUUGGUUGAGUUUGGAUUAUCAAUGGCUGCUCCUAUAAUAAGAGAGAUUUUACUUUGCCAAAUGUGAUUCUGUGUAAAAUUAUAUGUUUCGCCUUUUUUAAAUGUGAUUGAAAAAUUUUGUAGUUGAAGGUUUGUGGUAUGUUGACAUCGUGUUGAUUACUAAAACUUUGAUCCAUUUGAUUGACAAAUAUAGGAUUUUCUUUCUUUUUGUUCCCGACUUUCAAUUUUUAGCCUUUCUAUAUGAUCUUGAAAUAUUUUUAUUUGUUGCAGCUUGAGCCCUAUUUCAAGUUCACAACUCAAUGGAGGUGGCAACAAAGUGGGAUCCUGUAGGCUAGAAAACUUUAGAUGCAUCAAAGCAAGUAAUUGGCUUAC
RNAcentral lists this long non-coding RNA (855 nucleotides) under Olea europaea subsp. europaea. Lineage: Eukaryota; Viridiplantae; Streptophyta; Magnoliopsida; Lamiales; Oleaceae. The record is from RNAcentral.